RNAcentral lists this ribosomal RNA (80 nucleotides) under Salmonella enterica subsp. enterica serovar Muenchen. RNAcentral describes it as "partial 23S ribosomal RNA". The record is from RNAcentral. Lineage: Bacteria; Pseudomonadati; Pseudomonadota; Gammaproteobacteria; Enterobacterales; Enterobacteriaceae. RNAcentral also lists the same sequence under 2 other names.
GGGUUGUGAGGUUAAGCGACUAAGCGUACACGGUGGAUGCCCUGGCAGUCAGAGGCGAUGAAGGGCGUGCUAAUCUGCGA